This 472-nucleotide ribosomal RNA is filed under the name uncultured bacterium. RNAcentral's name for it is "bacterial SSU rRNA". It matches the Rfam family "Bacterial small subunit ribosomal RNA", at positions 335 to 802 of the family's 1533-position model. The record is from RNAcentral.
ACUCCUACGGGAGGCAGCAGUGGGGAAUAUUGCACAAUGGGCGCAAGCCUGAUGCAGCCAUGCCGCGUGUGUGAAGAAGGCCUUCGGGUUGUAAAGCACUUUCAGUCGUGAGGAAGGUGGUAGUGUUAAUAGCACUAUCAUUUGACGUUAGCGACAGAAGAAGCACCGGCUAACUCCGUGCCAGCAGCCGCGGUAAGUACGGAGGGUGCGAGCGUUAAUCGGAAUUACUGGGCGUAAAGCGCAUGCAGGUGGUUUGUUAAGUCAGAUGUGAAAGCCCGGGGCUCAACCUCGGAAUAGCAUUUGAAACUGGCAGACUAGAGUACUGUAGAGGGGGUAGAAUUUCAGGUGUAGCGGUGAAAUGCGUAGAGAUCUGAAGGAAUACCGGUGGCGAAGGCGGCCCCUGGACAGAUACUGACACUCAGAUGCGAAAGCGUGGGAGCAAACAGGAUUAGAUACCCCUGGUAGACUGUCA